CUUCCCUGUUUUGGUUUAGAUUUUUGGGCUGGGAGUAAGCGAUUGCUUUACCUUCCCUGUUUGUUUUCGAAAUGAGCUGUAGUUAAUGAUGUAUUGUGUGAGUUGCUUUGUGAUCAUGUGUCAAAAUUUUCCUUUGCUAUUCUUUGGUUUUUGUUCCUAAUCUUGGAGGAUUUGUUAUGGGUUAUUAACUUAUUAUGGGUUAGCUUUGCGUAAUACUUAUCUGAUAUAAAGUAACUUAGAUUUUAAGAUGAGGAUGUGAUGCGCUGCAUACACUUGGAAUGUUAAUAGUGGGUGAUUUUUAUUGGUUAAUUACCAAACUGUAGAAGAGGUAACACUUUUGUUUUAAUGGAAAUAGUCUCUCAAAUAUUUAUAGUUUCAGAUACAUAUGCUGCCUGCCAGUUAGUAUGGCAGUGAAGAUGGUCAUCCAAAUUCAGACAUUUCACUUUGAAUAAAUCCAUCAUUUUUACAGAAACCCUGCAAUCAUGAGAAUAUUCUUCCUGCAAUAAAGAAAAUUUCUCCACUCAAUUUAUACAUGUAUCAUGCAUGACAGAACCGUAGAGAUGGAAUAAUCAUAAGGAAUAGAACAAAUAUAGCAGGUUUCAAGUCAUUCUUCCAUAUUCUAAAGAUGCAAAAAAGAAUAUUAUGUGGCCAAAGGAAAAACGUGCAACUUACUGUAAACGCCACAAUCAUCAUAUUUUCUCUAGAGAUUGUUAAGUGAUGCCAUGGCUAACAUGUAUUCCUUUUCUUGCAAGAGAGAAUCAUGUUUCCUAGCGGAUGUUGUCUUUACAUUAUAAGCUGUUUUGUUGCUUGACUUUUUUAUUCUUUGCACAUCCCUUUCUCUGUCAUUUUUGUCUUGAAAGGAGUAUAUGUCAUGUAUUGACUCCAUGAAAUGAUUUUAGAAAGGGAAGAAUUAUGCUGCUUUGAGGGUAAGUCUUAAAAUUCAUUCUCUAUGAGAUGAUUUUAGACCUGGAAGAAUCAUGCUGCAUUUAGGUUGAAAGGGAUUUAGAUAAGUAGUAGUAUAGAAUAUAAGAAAGCUUUAAGUUGAAGCUUAAUUUAAUGAUGGGAAGGAAUAAAAUAGCAUAAGAAGUUCUCCAUAUCAGAAGUAUUUUAAAUAAGAAGGAACAAUGAGCAGGAGUAGCCAUCGUUGAACGCAUUUGUAAGUGAAAAUUCCGCCUUCUGCCGUCUCCCUCUCCGCCCCCGCCGGUGUAUUUGCCCUAUUUUGAAAGUCGUUCACAAUCGCUGCUCCGGCCGCCGUCGAUCGUCUCCGGUUAGUGUUUGCCCCGCCCCCUGCUCUGCCGCCGGAGAUCAUUCUCUUUCAAAAUCAUUAGUGACAUUGUAAAUAUCUGUAUCAUUUCUUUCAAAAUCAUUAGUGUUGAACCAUUUAUCUUUUUAAUAUUAUAUCUUUGUCAUCAAACUUUACUUGCUUAUUUUUGUAAUAUUAUUGCCGAUUUUUAGGUGAA
Molecule: long non-coding RNA, 1460 nt
Organism: Salvia miltiorrhiza (redroot sage)
Lineage: Eukaryota; Viridiplantae; Streptophyta; Magnoliopsida; Lamiales; Lamiaceae
Exons: 2
Source: RefSeq, a predicted model, not a curated record